RNAcentral lists this long non-coding RNA (305 nucleotides) under Carica papaya (papaya). RNAcentral's name for it is "long non-coding RNA (CPAP_LNC000483)". Lineage: Eukaryota; Viridiplantae; Streptophyta; Magnoliopsida; Brassicales; Caricaceae. The record is from RNAcentral.
AGUUUGUACAGGUUGUCUACAGGAACAUAACUGUGUCAAAAUAUGCUCGUAAGUUUCUAGAGUUGGAUCGAUAUUCCCCUGAGACAUUGUUGGAUGAAGGCAGGAAGGCUAGAAGGUUUGAAUGGGGUCUCUGCCCAGAGAUCAGACAACAGUUGUUUGUGCUGGAGCUCAAGACUUAUUCGGUUAUUCUGGCCAAGGAACAAUUAGUGGAGAGGAGCUUCCGCACCUUCUCUCAGGCAGUAGAGAACCUUAGACCAUUAGCUCCACCCCGCAGACCAGCACCUACUGCGCCUGUUCAACAGAAU